UCUAUGUGAUUAAAACACUACCCUUAAAUCAUGAUGCAGUUCAGAAAAAUGUGUAGUCAUAUUAACAAAUAAAUUCUUUAUAUCAGAUAUAGCUUUUUAACCUAACUUCCUGGUGGAAAAUACUGUGGUAAAUUACAGAAUUUAGAAAGCCAUGAAACAGGCAGAAGAAGCAUGUUGAGCAUGAUAAAGAAUAUGAGAGGUUUUUGUAACCAUUUUUUGUACCACUUCUAUGAUACCAUAUGGUCUGCUACUUCAAUAAAACGAAGGUUCACUGGCCUAAUUUUAAAUACAGAUUUGAAAAUCAUAAUGCAAAGUAUAAAAUGCUAAUGAAUGUAUUUAUUUAGGGGUACCUUUUAGAAGUUUGGACAACAUUACAAUUACUCAACACAUGACAUUUUGGCAUAAAGUCAGGAUAGACUCCUCAAAUGCAUAAAACACAAAUGCACCUGCUCAAGGUAGGAUAAAUAUUCAUACAGGAAGAUGAAGAGUCAAAAUAACAACUGUGCCUCUUCACCUGUACUUAUUUUAGCUCUACCCCAAAAUACAUUAAUUAGUGAAACAAUCCAACUGCUGAUGAACAACUGUGAGCUUCACAAACUGUCUCUGGACCUGCUAAACUGGACGUAAAAUAUUGUGUACACUGCUUCUAAGCAAAAAUUUAGAGGAGUGCAAUUUUAAUUUAACAACAUGGCUUUCCUUUAAGCACACUAAAACACACUCGAGCCACCGAAUAACCUUCAAUAAAAUCAAUAAGCAUUAAGAAUUGAAAUAGCUUCCAGACUGGGGACUACAGGGUACCAACACUCUCAAUUUGGCAAGGCCAGAGUGCUUAGCUGAAUAAGGAGUUCAAGAUAUACAUAAAGUUUAGCUGUAAAAUAUUUUAUCAAGUAAGGCCCAUAAUGAUGAAUUAAGUGAAAAUCAAGAAUGUUUCUAAUUUUUCUAAAGUACUUUUAGCUUAAAAUUAAUUAAAGUUCUUUCACAACAUAUUUAAUGGCAGAGAAUUUUUAAUUUUAUUUCUUCCCUUGCAAUCUCUUCAAUAGACUAUGAUUUUAAUUUUUGGUUCAUGUCUUGUAAAUUGAUCUAUGAAAAAUCAAAAGGGUUAAAGAAAUCAGUUGUAGCCUAAACAAAAAUCAAAUAUUAGCUUCUGAAGAGCAUUAGCUGGGAUUUUCUACAAUACAAAUUAUAACCUGCGGUAUUGAAUUACUUGCAAUAAAUAUAUUGAUAAAAUAUUUUCACUUUUAAAGUUUCCCUGAACAGUUUUCACGAAAUCUAGUGCCUAGUCCACAAAGUCCUUCAUCCUUAUUUAAAAUGAAUGUGGAUUUUGACACAUGUUCACAGAUGGUUGCCUAGGAAAUUUUAGCAUGCUUUGGACAUAACUGAAAAAAAGUUAUUCUUAGAAGCAUUUGCAAUUUCAGGUGGCUGUUACUUGAGAAGUACACAUGCAACAAGGUGAAAAGAAUAGCUUCAGUCACCACGGAUAUGUCAGUGUCUCCAUUACCCAGGUCAAAUUUAGCCAUAGUUUGCAUAAAGAGGAAGGGUGAUUCACCUUGGGUCAAAGAUUCAGUGCUCUGUAAAAGGGCAAAAUUUUCAUCAACCUUAUCUAUUGCUGGUGCUUGUCAUUGUGGGGAUCAAUUUAACUUUACAGCAUCCAAAGCAUCUUUUAUUCCUGUUUGCUGCCACAGCACAACUCCACACAAUUCCUUCAUUGAGUGCUCUUAGAUCCCCAGUGGGCACGUAAGACUCCCAGGGUAAUUGUGUAAUAGAAUAUAAUCUGACUGGCUGCAACCUACUGCAUUUCUGGCACACCACAACAAAAACAAAUCAAAAUAAAUCCCCAGCAUUCAAAAACUUCCUUCACUCUUCUACUCUGCAAAGCCUGAUCAUAGGAGACCUAAUGUUUUGUUUGUUGUUUUUUUUGUUUGUUUGUUUGUUUGUUUGUUUUUAAGAGGAACAAAAAGGAAAAGGAUAAAUGCGAAUAACAGGAAUAUCUACAGAAUGCUAACAAAAAUCAGAACAAAAAAUGAGUUGUCGGCAAGCACUCAGUACAAAAUUGAAUUCAUUGCAUGCAGAGUAAAGACUGAUUUAAAUUCACUCAUAAAAGCAGCAUUAAGGAGGAAUCUAGGUGCUCAGACAAGAAGUUCUGUUGUAAGAUAAAAUGCAAUACAAGGUUAUACCAUCCAAAGCCUCAGUUUUUUAUAUAUGUUUUUCUUUAGCUCACCUGGUAAAUCUGGCAAAGAGAAUUAGCUAUAUAAGCCAUCUACUCAACAUCCCCUCAAAGUCAAACAGAAUAAGCAGUUACAGCAGUUCUUCAUCAUAUGCUCUUUUUAAAAGUUAUUUCUUAUUUAUUUUUAUUGCAUACAAGUGGUUGCUGGUAUACAACAGCAAAUUGAAUAUGUUUUACAAAAACAGUUAUAGAUCUCAAUUUUUUUUUCAGUGAUUAAUAAUGUCUUCAUCCACCUUGUUUGCCACUUAAAAAGUGAGAUUUCAUGGGGUAGCUGAAGGAGAGAUGAUGAACACUUUAGCUCUAAAAAAACCCCUACAUGAGAGUCCUUGAUGUUUUGUCUUUGAAAUUAUUUAGGGGAGGGAGCUUAACAGUAAUAAAUUAUUCAGUAAAAUGUGCACAAUUAAAUGCCAUUUAGAAUAUUAUAACAUGGAUUUUCAAGCUUUCUUUUAAGAAGGUGUAGUCAUAGAAAAACAGGGCUAGCAAGCUAAGUCACUUUAAUGCAUUAAAAUUACUACCUUCAAAGGGAGGCUGUAGCUGUAAAUAACACAAUAUGAUGUUUUAUUUGAUUUGAUUUCAAACCUCAAGGUCUGUAUGUUCUCAUGCUGCACCCUGAAAUUUUGCAAACAUGAAUUUAUUUCCCACAUUCAGUGAGGCUGCCCAAGCAUUUGACUACAUAUUUAUACGGUUUUUGAGGAAAACACAUAAAUCAUCCAUCCACUGUUAGGUGACAGAAAAAUUAAAGGAAAUACUCACUGGUUUAGUAUCUAUCUAUCUAUAUAUAUAUAUAUAUAUGUGUGUGUGUGUACAUGUAUAAAUUUGUUUAUUUUUUUCACCUCCACCCCCAGUUCAGACACUUAAACCAAUUCAAGGACCUAGGUGAGAGUGGAAAGUUUGUUACAGAGACAACUGGUGUCUGAAUCAGCAGGAUACACAUCACUGUACUGCAAUCUAGAUGAGCUUUCAAGAUUAAGGCAAGUCUCUCUCACAAACAAGAGUAAGUCAUGUACUCAUUGUGGUGUUUUAAAGUACACAGUCUUGUCUUUAGUAUCUAAUUACAGCAUAUGUUUUGAGAUAAAGGUAUAAAUAAUGGGCUAUUUCCAUCUAAAUGUCCAGCUCUUCUAUUUGAGGCUGAGAACAAUCUCUCCUUACAGCAAUUAUUCUGGCUAUAUCCUCUUGUUAAAGAGAUAGAUCACCAAGACCACUUAAAAUGUUCUUAAUUUUUUGGGUGGAAUUGCAAGCAAAAUAGUGAAUUCUCAAUACAGAUUUUAGAAUGUGUAUUUCAAUACUGAUUACUGAGAGAGUUAGAAAAUUAUAAUGCAUCUUUUCAACUUCAAAUCAUUUCAGCUCUGAUGAAUCAUUGUGAAAUAUAAGAAUCACGCAGUUUUUUCUUAUAUAUUUGUGACUUGAUGAGUACUAGAAAUAAUAUUAUUUGAUGUGUACAAUGUGAAUACACAGGCUUGUAAAUACAAAUUGGUCAAUUCCAUCCUUUAAAAGAAAAAUUCAUAGUUUUUGCCUUACUUAUUUUCUAAGAUAUUUUAAAUAAGGAAAAAAAAUAUAAAAUCAAUCCUUGUCAUGGAUUCUAUGGUGUAUUAAAUAUUACACAGAAGACUUUUUUCACAUGCAACAUAUAUAUAAAAAAAAGCAGCUUAAUAAAUUCAAGAGGCACCUUAAUCAGAAGGCAAGUAAGGAAUAUGAAUGCCACAGCUAAGGAAACAAAAGCUGCUUGGUGCUAAAUGUAUCUCAUCCCAACAAAAGAAAUUCAGGAAAACUUCUCACAGAAAUUCAGGAAAACAACUCACAGACUUUAAAAACAUUUAAGAGUUCUGUCUUUUCAGAAUAUGAAAUUUUCCUUUACUGGAAUUCAUAAACUGCAUUCUUUCCCUCCAGGUGCACUACAUAGAGGUCAGUAUAACCCCAUAGCCCACCAAACAUAGUAUUGCAAAGACUAGGCCAUAUGUUUUGCACUGGUUUUGCAAGCACUCAGAAAUUAGCUUUGUCAGGAAUAACUUGUACUUUUCUUGACCUGCCUGGAACUUUGUUUUCGAUCGUUCAGCUAUAAAAGCCUGACUAGGUGUCUAUGACUGGUUUGCUUUAUUUUUGUACAGCUCUGUAUUAAAUAACUGUAAUCCUGUACAUACUCUUGCAACAAGUAGAACAAAAUAGUAAUGGCUCUGACAUAAUAGUGUAAAGCAGAGAAAUGCAGGUUUGUUAUGGCAGUGGAGGAUUUAAAAGCGGGUUGGAAACUGCGUGGAAUGUAGAGGAACCCAGGCAUGGGAUGGUAAGAGAAGUGACUCAGGGUUGGCUCUAGAGAGCCUAGACCUGUAAACUUAACUAUGGACAAUUAAAGGAAUGCAGAGUAACUAGGAAAAAAGCAAGAAGUGCCCAGUAUAUGCAACACACUUUCUAUAUACUAAAUUCAGCUUUAACAUGGACCUACAGACCUGCAAAGAAAGAGCAAAGUUUGCGUGGUGUGUUAGAAGAACAAGUAAAUGACCCAAACCAGCUCCUACAGUGAGGGGGAGGCAGUUACCAUUAACAUUAUAUUGCUCUUGUCAAUGCACUCAGGAUCCUGAAAACUUGCAUGUCCAACUGAAGAUAUCAACUGCAAGAGGCCAAGAAGCAGUAGAAGGGUGAAUAUAAAUGCAAGGAAAGGGGUAGAUAAAAAGAAGUCCAUGUUUAAUAAUUUUACUUUAUUACUAUUACUGAUUCUUCCACAAUAAAAAAGAGUUUGUUAAUUUGUUUUUUCUUUAUUUUCCUUUCAUUUCCUAAAUUCCUUUAUUUGAAGGAAUAAAUAUUCUUCAAAUAGCUAUUUAAGAUUUAAAUUACCCAAAGAAAAAAUACUUAGUGUACAUAUAUAAGAUUUGCAGGAUUUUUGCCUUUAGGAAGAUAGAAACUUAAGUUUAGAUCCCUGAAAAAUGGUACUGAAAGAUUUUUUUAGUGUUUCAUCACAAGGAAAUAACCCUCUAGUUCAGUUAAACUCAUGCAACCUGAUGUUCAUUUGGAACAGUUUCUCCUACAAUCUUCUACACAUUGUUUUUUCUUCUACAUACCCUUCUUUCCAAUUUGUAUGUACCAACCUUUGCAUUUAAAAAAAAUUCGCAGGGCUAUAUAUAUUUGUUCAGGCAUUUGAAGGAAAAAGACUUUUAUGACUUUCUGUCUACGUCUAAGAUAUUUAAUCCUAACAGAAUGCUAUUGGAAUAACAGUUUUUAUUUCAGUUUCAAGUAACAUGGAAUGGAAGAAACACUUGAUAUAAUGCAUUUAUUUCUAUAACAACCUACUCUGACAAAGCUUCAUUAUACUUCAGGCUAUCAACUGGAGCAUCUGUUCACAUAUCCCUUAAACUGUAAAGUGGGCAAUGCAUCAGCACAAAGUGCAUGUUAAAACACCAGAGUGAUAUUAGGAUCAUCCCUUCUCAAGUGAAAAUGAAUACUUUUAGCCAAACUUUUGCAUAUGUCCUUUCCAAAAAACAAAACAAAAAAAGAGGGAGUGUAUACCCCACAUAUUACCAGAAUAUAUUGGCUGCUACCUGCAAAAAAGUAGCAUGUAAGUGAAAACAUUAGAAGAGACUACACAGAAUAUGGUUUCCCCACGGAAAUGUUUCUGCAGGACAAGCAGCCUGUAGGCAAAGUAGGUUGAAGCUAUUCCAGCACCAGGUAAAAACUUUCAAGCUGAAGGCAUCCGAAAAAUCCCCUCAUUUUCACUUUUUUGCACACAUGUUACAGCUACUUCAAGCAGAUCUCAAAAUCUGAAAGACUAUGGGCUUUGAUUGAAACAAGUGCUAUUUCCUUACUAACUGUGCGAAUUCAGCAAAAUGGUAAAGCUGAGCUGAAUCAUCAUGCAAAUCUGUGAGAAGCUUUAAAAUACUAGCUGCAAAAUGAAAACACAUUUUAUAUUUAUUUGUAAAGCCAAGAGACUAAAAAUUUGAACCUUACAUCUGCUGAACUUUACAAUAUACUACAGAGCAAGAAUAAUAUUAUUAAAAAUUUUUAAAUUAACCCUAAACCUAGUAGGAGGCACAGUCACAACUAUUUGGAAUAGAAUUGACUAUCCCUUAUGUCACAUUAUUAUAAUGUACAGAAAAUACACAUUUCCUGAUAGAGCCAUCAGUUAUGUUUAUGUUCCAGUACAAGACACAUUCACAACAUGCUUCAUUAAAAAGCAGCUUGCAAGAGAAACAGGCACACAGCUUGCAUCAGAAUUCUAGCUGCAGAGGACCCUAAAAAUAUCUACAAUUGCACUUCCAGCUUCAUGUUUAGUUUUCAAUCUCCUAUAAACCAAAGCACCUGAAUAAUAACAUGAAGUUGGCCACUGUUCUGAAACCCAUUGACCACCUUUUCUCACAAGAGAGCAAAUGUGGUUGAAGCUAUACAACCACAUUCAAGUGUUGUCCCAAAACAGACUGCUACAUGCAACCAGCAAGCUCCAGACAAGUUCUGCAGCUUUCAAACCAUGCAAAAAACUGAUAAAUACUCUCAGCCUUCCAAAUGUCAGAGAGCAUCCAACCAUAACUCCGGAGACAAGAUAUCCUUGUUGAAGAUACUCCAGAAAACAAUUCAGAGGAAUUGAACUGUCUUCUACCUGAAACUGAUCCACAGAAUUCCUUCUUCACCAACAGCACAAAGAGAUAAGCCUUCCUUGACUUUUCUUCCUGGAAACUAUCUGCAUAGGCUUUACUUCAGUAGGGAAAUAUGCCUAGAAGAUUCAAGAUAAGCAUCUUCCAUUGCUGCAAAUUGUUGGUCCAAAAGUUGUGACUGACCAGAAGGCACUGUGGUUACAGGCCGGCAUUUCAAGGGUUGUGAUUGUGUACUGAGCUGCUGAGCAGGCUGGAAACAAUGAGGAUGCAUACAUCUGGUAGCACUUGACCCCAAACUCCUUUGUCUGCUAUUUCCUGUCUGCUAUAUGUCUCACUGAAUACCCAAAAUCAAGAAUCAAAACAGUUCAACAGAGAAGGAAGAGAGAAAUAGCACCCAAAAUUUUUUAAAGGUAAGAAAAAAACUAAAGUAAGAGCAGUUAAGGGGUCAGUUAACAAUUUUUCUGAUCAAAAUUAUGGCAAACUUUUUAUUUUGGUUCCAGGAAAAUGAAUUAAAAUGUGGUGAGAUUUGAUGUAGAUGAGUUGUUGUCUACAGGAGGACUCAUUACUUCAGUAAGCCUGAGGACAAGAAGCUUAAGGACAUCUAUGGAUUAUAUUUCCUGCAACACAGAGUGUGGGAUUGAGUGCAAAUUUGCUGAUGACACCAAGGUUGUGGUCUCGUUGAGAUGCUGGAGGGAAGGGAUGCCAUCCAGGUGGACCUUGACAGGCAGAAGUUGGCCCAUGUGAACUUCAUGAAGCUGAACAAGGCAAAGUACAAGGUGCUGCAUCUGGGUCAGAGCAAUUCCAAGCUCAAAUAUGGUCUGGGUAGAGAACGGAUUGACAAAAGCCCAGAGAAGAUGGACUUGUGGAUGUUGGUUAAUGAGAGGCUCAAAAUGAGCUGGCAAUGUGUUUUCAGCCCAGAAAGCCAAUCAUGUCCUGGGCUGCAUCAAAAGUAGCAUGGCUAGCAGGGUGAGGGAGGUGUUAUUCUCCUCCUCCUCUUCUCUCCUGAGACCCCGCCUGGGGGGCUGCAUACAGCUCUGGGUUCCCCAGCAUAAGAAGGAUGUGAACCUGCUGAAGCAAGAUCAGAAGAGGGCCACAAGAGAUGAUCAGAGGGCUGGAACUCUUAAUCUGUGAGGACAGCUUGAGGCAGUUGGGGUUGUUCAGCCUGGAGAAGAGCAGAUUCCAAGGAGACCUUAUAGCACCCUUCCACUACCUUGUAGGUCCCUUAAGGGGACCUACAAGAAUGCAGGAGGGACUUGUCGCAAGGACAUAUAGCAACAAGACAUGGGGCAAUGUUUUUAAACUAGAAGAUAGGUUUAGACAGAUAUUAGGAAGAAAUACUUUACUGUGAGGGUACUGGAAUAGAUUUCCCUGAAAAGCUGAGAAUGUCCCAUUUCUGAAAGUGUUCAAGGCCAGGUUGGAGGGGGAUUGAGACACCUGGCCCAAUCCCCAUUGGGAUUGGAAACUCCCUGCCCAUGGCAGAGGUGUUGGAAGGAGAUGUUCUUCAAGGUCCCUUCCAAGCCAGGAGUUCUAUGAUUCUAUGAUCAAAGACAUAGCAUGUCCAAAUUCUAAUGGCUGCAAACACCCAAGAAACUAAAUACAUCUCUGAAAUUCCCCUUGUAUUGUGUGUAGGUGGCAAGAUUUUGGGCAACAUGAGGGCUACAGGGAUGGCUGCUUUGACAGGAGAUCAGAAUGAGUCUUGUCCCAGGCUCAGCUGGUUUCAGCCUUCUCCACAAUGGACCCACAACUAUCAGAGUAUAUUUAAAGAGAUGAGAGAACGGAGAAAGUGUGAGAAACGAUCCUGCAAGCAACAAGGUCUGACAAGGAGAGUGAGAAUGCGCUCCACGUGAUGUACCAGACAGUCCUUUGUAACUCUUGCUGCAACAAAUUGCCCAUGUACUUGACUACAUUAGAAUAAAUGUCCAUCUUGCAGCCCUCAAAAGAUUUCUUUUUAAGAUUAAGAUAUAAAAGAAUGUAUAUUUUGUGAAUAUAUUUUCAGAUUCCCAAACCUACUAUUUAUUAGUCAUAAUGCCUCACAAUGGUCAAAGUUGCUUUCUAAUGCAAGAUUCAUGAUGGUUUUGAGUUAAAUUAUUUUACUUCCUGGAGUUCUGAAUACCAGAGAUAUAUAGGACAAGUUAGGAAGAUUUAUUUGCUAUCAAAUAUCAUCGUCUAAUGCAAAAAUGUAUAUAUGAGGAGAUUAGAGGAUUGGACUCAAAGCAAAAGGAAGAGAUAACCCUACUAUUAUGUCUUUUAUCAAGAAUUACCUUUAGAUUUUUCACACUCUUUUUUUCUUGUUAAAUAACAAAUAAUUUCUGUACAUAGAUGUACAAAUGUGAACAGGUAUAGAUGCAUAAGAUAAAUGCUUAAGUGCUUUCAUUAAAAGCAUACACAUGGAUCUAGCCCUUGAGACAGCAUGCUGAGCAUCUGGAAUUCAGAUUACAGCAAACACUUUUGAUUAUUUGCAUGUACAAAGCUACAUUUGGCAGUACAUUUUAACUUCUUAUAGUUAAGUGAGGCUCAGGUGAGAGAUUAUUCUGAAUGCUAAGAUGUCAUUGAAGAAUGUUAGUUCUCUGACAAUAAAGAGAUUGACUCUUGA
Zonotrichia leucophrys gambelii is the source of this 9391-nucleotide long non-coding RNA. RefSeq lists it as uncharacterized. Lineage: Eukaryota; Metazoa; Chordata; Aves; Passeriformes; Passerellidae. The record is from RefSeq and is a predicted model, not a curated record. The transcript is spliced from 2 exons.